Molecule: unclassified non-coding RNA, 3328 nt
Filed under: Hevea brasiliensis (rubber tree)
Lineage: Eukaryota; Viridiplantae; Streptophyta; Magnoliopsida; Malpighiales; Euphorbiaceae
Source: RNAcentral
CUUCUUCUUCUUCUUCUUCUAGUAGCCAUCUUUUAGACCACUGAAGGCUACCCAUCGGCUCGUAUUGUUGAUUCUCUUCUCUGCGGUCUUGAUACAAUUGGUGGAUGUUGAUUUCCCUGUUUGCGAGUAGUUUUGAGGUCUGAAUUUGUCUGCAAAAUCUGUUACUGGGUGAACCAUGCCUAGUAGUUUGCUUCUUUUAUUAGCCAAUUUGGUUUUAUGAGCAUGACAUCCAAAGCUUGGUGUUUGAAUUUAAGGGGCACACGGGUUCAAAGGCCAGCGAGAGGUCUGUGAUUGGCAAUUAGAGUGGGUGUGUUUUCUUUCUCGUCCACUGAUACUACUAAAUCUUCUUUUGCUUGCAUUUCUAUCCUCUCCAUAGUCUGUUAUUCUUUUUAGCUUCAGUUUCCUCAAAAUUUCCUUAAUUUUGGAAUCGUUUUCUUCAGAUGUCUUCCGAUCUGCAUCCAUCGUAGAGCUAAUUUUUGUAUUUAGGGGCUGAUGUUAGAUUCAUUGCAGAAUGUAAAGUUCGUAUAAACACUCGAAGGCCCUUUGAUGUGUCCUUCGUUUAGCAGCAAAUUUCUCUUCUUUCUAAGAGUUGUUUCGUAUUUCUCUUCCAGAGGCCUUUUUCUUUGUGUCCUUUAGUGCAGCCAUGGAUUGUCGGGGUUUGAUUCGUUUUAUGGGGUUCAUUGUGUUGGUUUUUCUCAUUCUAUCUGAAGCCUGCAUGGCUGGUAUACAAACCAUUGGCAAGAUUUAUCCUGGGUUUCAAGGGUCUCAGAUGAAUUGGAUUGAUAAGAAUGGGCUAUUUCUUUUAUCUAAUAAUUCAAAUUUUGCUUUUGGCUUCAACCCUACUUCAGAUGUUACAUUAUAUCUAUUAGUUAUUAUCCACACGACAAGCUUGGAUGUUAUAUGGACUGCAAAUAGAGGCUCCCCAGUUGCAAAUUCUGAUCAAUUCUUCUUUGGUGAAGAUGGUACUGUGUCUUUACACAAGGGGGAACGUCCAGUCUGGACACCUGAUACUGGUGGUAAAAGAGUUUCUGCAAUAGAAUUGCAGGAUUCAGGAAAUCUGGUUUUGUUGGGGAAUGACAGCAGUGUAAUUUGGCAAAGCUUUAGCCAUCCAACAAACACACUAAUAUCAGACCAGGAGUUUCGAGAGGGAAUGAAACUGGUCAGUGAUCCUAGCGCCAAUAACUUGACCUAUGUUCUUGAGAUCAAGUCUGGUGACAUGAUUCUGUCUGCUGGAUUCCGAACUCCCCAGCCUUACUGGUCCAUGCAAAAUGACAAUGAUAAAACCAUCAAUAAAGCUGGUGGAACAGUCACUCUGGCAUCUCUCAAUGCAAAUUCAUGGAGAUUCUAUGACAGUAAUGAAGUGCUCUUGUGGCAAUUUAAGUUUGCAGAUGAGAAAGAUGCGAAUGCUACCUGGAUUGCAGUUGUUGAAAAUGAUGGCUUCAUUUCUUUCUACAACCUUAAUGAUGGAGGUAGUGCUUCGCAGACAAAAAUACCAAGUGAUCCGUGCAGCAGGCCAGAACCUUGUGAUGCAUAUUUUGUUUGUUCUGGUAACAAUGUUUGCCAAUGCCCUUCAGCUCUUAGUACCAGCCCAAAUUGCAAGCCAGGUAUUGUAUCUUCGUGUGAUGGUUCAAAGGGCUCUACAGCGCUUGUAAGUGCUGGCAAUGGGCUCAAUUACUUUGCACUUGGGUUUGUUCCAGCUUCUUCAAAAACUAGCUUGGAAGGUUGCCAAUCCUCUUGCCGUGAUAACUGCUCCUGUCUUGCUUUGUUCUUCCAGAACAGUACAGGGAAUUGCUUCCUUUUUGACCAAAUUGGAAGUUUCCAAGAUGCUGGCACCGGUUCCAGUGUUGUUACAUACAUUAAAGUCUUAAGUGACUCAAACAGUGGAGACACUGGAAGCAGCAAAAAAGGUUUUCCUUUUGUUGUGAUAAUUGUUGUUGCAACAGUGCUUGUCAUUUUUGGUCUACUUUAUGUGGCAUUUCGAUAUUACAAGAACAAGAAAAGAUUGCCAGCAUCUCCCCAAGAGACCUCAGAAGAUGAUAAUUUCUUGGAGGGUUUAUCUGGGAUGCCGAUUCGUUAUAGUUACAGGGAUCUUCAAACUGCAACUAACAACUUCUCAGUGAAGCUUGGACAUGGAGGAUUUGGUUCGGUUUAUGAAGGGGUUCUUCAAGAUGGAACACGACUGGCUGUGAAGAAGCUAGAAGGCAUUGGUCAGGGAAAGAAAGAAUUCCGAGCAGAAGUUAGCAUCAUUGGUAGUAUUCAUCAUCACCACUUGGUGAGGCUGAAAGGCUUCUGUGCUGAAGGAUCUCACCGCCUGCUUGCUUAUGAGUUCAUGGCAAAUGGGUCUUUGGAUAAAUGGAUCUUCAAGAGAAACAAUGAAGAUUUCCUGUUGGAUUGGAAUACAAGAUUCAAUAUUGCAUUGGGAACAGCAAAAGGCCUGGCUUAUCUCCAUGAAGACUGUGAUGUGAAGAUAAUUCAUUGUGACAUAAAACCUGAAAACGUGCUUCUUGAUAGUCACUUCAAUGCCAAAGUCUCAGAUUUUGGGUUGGCUAAGUUAAUGAAUCGAGAGCAAAGCCAUGUUUUCACGACCCUAAGAGGAACCAGGGGGUACCUUGCACCAGAAUGGAUCACAAAUUAUGCCAUAUCGGAGAAAAGUGAUGUUUAUAGCUAUGGUAUGUUGUUGCUUGAGAUUAUCGGUGGAAGGAAAAACUUUGAUCCAUCUCUUUCUUCGGAGAAAUCCCAUUUCCCAUCCUAUGCUUUUAGGAUGAUGGAAGAAGGGAAAGUGAGAGAAAUCCUUGAUUCAGAGCUGAAUUUAGACGAGAAUGACAAGAGGGUCUCCACUGCAAUUAAAGUUGCAUUGUGGUGUGCGCAGGAAGAUAUGCAUCUAAGGCCACCAAUGCCUAAAGUUGUCCAAAUGCUUGAAGGUCUCUGCCCUGUUCAUCAACCACCAAUUUCUUCCCCGUUGGGUUUUCGCCUUCAUUCCAGUUUGUUUAAAUCAAUAAGCGAGGAGGGCACUUCCUCAGGACCUUCGGACUGCAAUAGUGACGCCUACCUUUCUUCUGUGCAGCUUUCUGGCCCAAGAUAGGAGUUCACAGUUUGGGGAAUUGUUGUUUAGAUUUAUAGAGUUGAACUAAUCAUGUAUACUUCUCCUACAAUAUUCCUGUAUAUUAGCUAGACUAGGAAAGUUUUGUAAUACUAGCAAUUAGCUUGUCACUUGUUUCUGCACUCAUUCUUGCUCUGUAAAUGGUGCUGAUUAUGACAAAAAAGUGACGCACAAUGAGCAUAUUUCUGAUUCAAAACCGCAUCUUGAUUCUGAAAGUUGUUAUGAAAA